Molecule: ribosomal RNA, 451 nt
Filed under: uncultured bacterium
Lineage: Bacteria
Description: partial 16S ribosomal RNA
Rfam family: Bacterial small subunit ribosomal RNA
Source: RNAcentral
AACGAACGCUGGCGGCAGGCCUAACACAUGCAGGUCGAACGGGUGUAGCAAUACAUCAGUGGCGCACGGGUGAGUAACACGUGGGAACGUGCCCUUCACUACGGGACAACGCCGGGAAACUGACGCUAAUACCGUAUAAUGUCUCCGGACUAAAGAUUUAUCGGUGAAGGAUCGGCCCGCGUCUGAUUAGCUAGUUGGUGAGGUAAUGGCUCACCAAGGCGACGAUCAGUAGCUGGUUUGAGAGAAUGAUCAGCCACACUGGGACUGAGACACAGCCCAGACUCCUACGGGAGGCAGCAGUGAGGAAUCUUGGACAAUGGGCGCAAGCCUGAUCCAGCCAUGCCGCGUGAGUGAUGAAGGCCUUAGGGUUGUAAAGCUCUUUUGCCGGGGAUGAUAAUGACCGUACCCGGAGAAUAAGCCACGGCUAAAUUCGUGCCAGCAGCCGCGGUAA